Molecule: long non-coding RNA, 1011 nt
Filed under: Fragaria vesca (wild strawberry)
Lineage: Eukaryota; Viridiplantae; Streptophyta; Magnoliopsida; Rosales; Rosaceae
Description: long non-coding RNA (FVES_LNC002417)
Source: RNAcentral
CCCUCCUCUAUUUGCAAAUUCAUUUGCUGAAGUGCGUCUUCCUCCUCCAUUGGUUGAUUCUUCAACACCUUGUUGUAUUCUGUUAUCUCCUGGAUCACUGGUUUCAGACACUCCAGCGUCGAUUUCACAUCUCUCACCUGGACCUUGAACAUGAUCAUCUUCUCCGUCAAUUCUAUAAUUCCAUCAAUUAGCAGCAUGAUUAGAACAACAGUACGUAUGAGCUUGGGCUAGAUCGAGUCAGGGGGUAAUUAAUCAAGACUAGUUUAGAUGGAAAACUGAGGAGUGAAGAGAGAACUGGGAUGUGAAUUGGUGAUAUACGUAUCGGACAAGGGAGCUUCAUAGAAGUAGAAGAGAAAGUUAUCCGAAGCCGUUUGGAGCGUGUGACAUAUGCGGCGUUGACUUAGACUAUUAUAACAAGUGCAAGCUAGUCACAAAAACAAAAAAGAGUUUUGAUUAGUGGGGUCGUUAUUUCUCUUCAGGUUCCCCGCCGCUCUGCCCAGCUGGGAAAUUAUUAUCUAAGUUUAAAUUUAUUAUCUAAGAGCAUCUCCAGCUGGGAAAUUAUUAUUAAUACACUCUAACUCUGUUCAUAUUCCCCAAUUCAUAGACCAAGACAAACGCGUUCAAAGUUCAAACCAUGACUAUACACAAGGAGACAAACAGAGAUUCUAUCUAAUAUCUAUUUCAUCGAUGCCAUUAAAUCUGUAAAUCUGCAGCCCUCACCUUAUUACCCAUCUGCAAAUCUAAUUCUUCUCACCAGAUUUGUCACACUCAUCAUCCAAAAAUUACCAAUUCCCAAUUGCAACAGCAAAACCCAAUCUCCUGGGCCUAACAAUCAGCUGCUAUUUCUAUUUCCCUCACUUCGGAAACCACCUACUUCAUUUGUUCUGCCUCUCUCCUCAUCCCGGAUUGACGUCGUUGGCGACUCUGCUAUUCACACCCUGGCCCUCCCAAAUGAUCAAACCUUUCCUCUGAAUCUCUCAUAUCCUUCCUGAUAGCAUCGUCGAACUUGAA